Molecule: ribosomal RNA, 533 nt
Filed under: Betaproteobacteria bacterium
Lineage: Bacteria; Pseudomonadati; Pseudomonadota; Betaproteobacteria
Description: bacterial SSU rRNA
Rfam family: Bacterial small subunit ribosomal RNA
Source: RNAcentral
CUGAGUAAUGCAUCGGAACGUGCCCAGUCGUGGGGGAUAACGCAGCGAAAGCUGUGCUAAUACCGCAUACGAUCUAUGGAUGAAAGCGGGGGACCUUCGGGCCUCGCGCGAUUGGAGCGGCCGAUGUUAGAUUAGGUAGUUGGUGGGGUAAAGGCUCACCAAGCCGACGAUCUAUAGCUGGUCUGAGAGGACGACCAGCCACACUGGAACUGAGACACGGUCCAGACUCCUACGGGAGGCAGCAGUGGGGAAUUUUGGACAAUGGGCGAAAGCCUGAUCCAGCAAUACCGCGUGCAGGAAGAAGGCCCUCGGGUUGUAAACUGCUUUUGUACGGAACGAAACGGCGUGCUCUAAUAAAGUGCGCUAUGACGGUACCGUAAGAAUAAGCACCGGCUAACUACGUGCCAGCAGCCGCGGUAAUACGUAGGGUGCAAGCGUUAAUCGGAAUUACUGGGCGUAAAGCGUGCGCAGGCGGUUUUGUAAGACAGGCGUGAAAUCCCCGGGCUUAACCUGGGAAUUGCGCUUGUGACUGC